RNAcentral lists this ribosomal RNA (293 nucleotides) under uncultured Bacteroidota bacterium. RNAcentral describes it as "uncultured Bacteroidetes bacterium partial 16S ribosomal RNA". The record is from RNAcentral. Lineage: Bacteria; Pseudomonadati; Bacteroidota.
GGACUACAGGGGUAUCUAAUCCUGUUUGAUACCCACACUUUCGUGCCUCAGCGUCAGUUACAUACCAGUAUGCUGCCUUCGCAAUCGGUGUUCUGUGCAAUAUCUAAGCAUUUCACCGCUACACUGCACAUUCCGCAUACCUCACUUGCACUCAAGACCAACAGUUUCAACGGCAAUUUUACAGUUGAGCUGCAAACUUUCACCGCUGACUUAUACAGUCCGCCUACGCACCCUUUAAACCCAAUAAAUCCGGAUAACGCUCGGAUCCUCCGUAUUACCGCGGCUGCUGGCAC